RNAcentral lists this ribosomal RNA (410 nucleotides) under uncultured bacterium. Its description in RNAcentral is "bacterial SSU rRNA". It matches the Rfam family "Bacterial small subunit ribosomal RNA", at positions 399 to 807 of the family's 1533-position model. The record is from RNAcentral.
GCGUGAGGGAUGACGGCCCUAUGGGUUGUAAACCUCUUUUGCCGGGGAGCAAAGUGCCGCACGUGUGCGGUUUGGAGAGUACCCGGAGAAAAAGCAUCGGCUAACUCCGUGCCAGCAGCCGCGGUAAUACGGAGGAUGCGAGCGUUAUCCGGAUUUAUUGGGUUUAAAGGGUGCGUAGGCGGACGCUUAAGUCAGCGGUAAAAUUGCGGGGCUCAACCUCGUCGAGCCGUUGAAACUGGGUGCCUUGAGUGGGCGAGAAGUACGCGGAAUGCGUGGUGUAGCGGUGAAAUGCAUAGAUAUCACGCAGAACUCCGAUUGCGAAGGCAGCGUACCGGCGCCCAACUGACGCUGAAGCACGAAGGCGUGGGUAUCGAACAGGAUUAGAUACCCUGGUAGUCCACGCAGUAAAC